AUCAUGCAGUCGAACGAACUCUGGUAUUGAUUGGUGCUUGCAUCAUGAUUUACAUUUGAGUGAGUGGCGAACUGGUGAGUAACACGUGGGAAACCUGCCCAGAAGCGGGGGAUAACACCUGGAAACAGAUGCUAAUACCGCAUAACAACUUGGACCGCAUGGUCUGAGCUUGAAAGAUGGCUUCGGCUAUCACUUUUGGAUGGUCCCGCGGCGUAUUAGCUAGAUGGUGGGGUAACGGCUCACCAUGGCAAUGAUACGUAGCCGACCUGAGAGGGUAAUCGGCCACAUUGGGACUGAGACACGGCCCAAACUCCUACGGGAGGCAGCAGUAGGGAAUCUUCCACAAUGGACGAAAGUCUGAUGGAGCAACGCCGCGUGAGUGAAGAAGGGUUUCGGCUCGUAAAACUCUGUUGUUAAAGAAGAACAUAUCUGAGAGUAACUGUUCAGGUAUUGACGGUAUUUAACCAGAAAGCCACGGCUAACUACGUGCCAGCAGCCGCGGUAAUACGUAGGUGGCAAGCGUUGUCCGGAUUUAUUGGGCGUAAAGCGAGCGCAGGCGGUUUUUUAAGUCUGAUGUGAAAGCCUUCGGCUCAACCGAAGAAGUGCAUCGGAAACUGGGAAACUUGAGUGCAGAAGAGGACAGUGGAACUCCAUGUGUAGCGGUGAAAUGCGUAGAUAUAUGGAAGAACACCAGUGGCGAAGGCGGCUGUCUGGUCUGUAACUGACGCUGAGGCUCGAAAGUAUGGGUAGCAAACAGGAUUAGAUACCCUGGUAGUCCAUACCGUAAACGAUGAAUGCUAAGUGUUGGGAGGGUUUCCGCCUCUUUCAGUGCUGCAGCUAACGCAUUAAGCAUUCCGCCUGGGGAGUACGGCCGCAAGCUGA
Molecule: ribosomal RNA, 882 nt
Filed under: Lactiplantibacillus plantarum
Lineage: Bacteria; Bacillati; Bacillota; Bacilli; Lactobacillales; Lactobacillaceae
Description: bacterial SSU rRNA
Rfam family: Bacterial small subunit ribosomal RNA
Source: RNAcentral